UUCGAAGAUACACGAAGAACCUUACCUGGCCUUGACAUGGUAGGAAUCCUUAAGAGAUUAGGGGUGCUAGCUUGCUAGAACCUACACGACAGGUGCUGCACGGCUGUCGUCAGCUCGUGUCGUGAGAUGUUGGGUUAAGUCCCGCAAACGAGCGCAACCCUCGUCCUUAGUUGCUAACAGUUCGGCUGAGCACUCUAGGGAGACUGCCUUCGCAAGGAGGAGGAAGGUGAGGACGACGUCAAGUCAUCAUGGCCCUUACGGCCAGGGCUACACACGUGCUACAAUGGGGCGUACAGAGAGCUGCGAUACCGCGAGGUGGAGCCAAUCUCUUAAAGCGUCUCUCAGUUCGGAUUGUUCUCUGCAACCCGAGAACAUGAAGCUGGAAUCACUAGUAAUCGCAGAUCAGCUAUGCUGCGGUAAAUACGUUCCCGGGUCUU
RNAcentral lists this ribosomal RNA (437 nucleotides) under uncultured Sulfuricurvum sp. RNAcentral describes it as "bacterial SSU rRNA". It matches the Rfam family "Bacterial small subunit ribosomal RNA", at positions 950 to 1382 of the family's 1533-position model. Lineage: Bacteria; Pseudomonadati; Campylobacterota; Epsilonproteobacteria; Campylobacterales; Sulfurimonadaceae. The record is from RNAcentral.